Molecule: ribosomal RNA, 482 nt
Filed under: Fopius arisanus
Lineage: Eukaryota; Metazoa; Arthropoda; Insecta; Hymenoptera; Braconidae
Description: partial 16S ribosomal RNA
Source: RNAcentral
GUUCACCUGUUUAUCAAAAACAUGUCUAAAAGAAAAUUAAUUUUUAGUCCAAUCUGCCCAAUGAUUUAUAAUUUAAUGGCUGCAAAAUUAAUUAUUGUACAAAGGUAGCAUAAUAAUUUGUUUUUUAAUUAAAAACUAGAAUGAAUGAUUAAUUGAAAUAUAAACUUUCUCAAUUAUAUAAAAAUUUAAAUUUUUAUUUAAGUAAAAAAACUUAAAUAAAUAUAAAAGACGACAAGACCCUAUAGAAUUUUAUUUAUUAAAAUAUAAUUUUAUUAAAUUUAUAUAUAAAUAUAAAUAUUUUAAUAAAUUUAAUUGGGGUAAUUUAAAAAUUUAAUAAAUUUUUUAUUAUUAAUACAUUAAUUUAUGAAUAAUAAUUUCUUAAUUCUAAAAUUUAAAAUUAAUUACCUUAGGGAUAACAGCAUAAUUUUUUUUAAAAGACCUAAUUAAUAAAAAAGAUUAUGACCUCGAUGUUGAAUAAGAAU